This 253-nucleotide ribosomal RNA is filed under the name uncultured bacterium. RNAcentral describes it as "partial 16S ribosomal RNA". It matches the Rfam family "Bacterial small subunit ribosomal RNA", at positions 524 to 776 of the family's 1533-position model. The record is from RNAcentral.
UACGUAGGGUGCGAGCGUUGUCCGGAAUUAUUGGGCGUAAAGAGCUCGUAGGCGGUUUGUCGCGUCGGCCGUGAAAUCUCCACGCUUAACGUGGAGCGUGCGGUCGAUACGGGCAGACUUGAGUUCGGUAGGGGAGACUGGAAUUCCUGGUGUAGCGGUGAAAUGCGCAGAUAUCAGGAGGAACACCGGUGGCGAAGGCGGGUCCCUGGGCCGAUACUGACGCUGAGGAGCGAAAGCGUGGGGAGCGAACAGG